This 358-nucleotide unclassified non-coding RNA is filed under the name soil metagenome. Its description in RNAcentral is "partial contains 5.8S ribosomal RNA, internal transcribed spacer 2, and large subunit ribosomal RNA". The stretch from base 1 to 120 matches the Rfam family "5.8S ribosomal RNA", at positions 35 to 154 of the family's 154-position model. The record is from RNAcentral.
GAUGAAGAACGUAGCGAAAUGCGAUAAGUAAUGUGAAUUGCAGAAUUCAGUGAAUCAUCGAAUCUUUGAACGCACAUUGCGCCCGUCAGUAUUCUGGCGGGCAUGCCUGUUCGAGCGUCAUUACGCCCCUCAAGUCCCCUGUGGACUUGGUGUUGGGGAUCGGCGAGGCUGGUUUUCCAGCACAGCCGUCCCUUAAAUUAAUUGGCGGUCUCGCUGUGGCCCUCCUCUGCGCAGUAGUAAAACACUCGCAACAGGAGCCCGGCGCGGUCCACUGCCGUAAAACCCCCCAACUUUUUAUAGUUGACCUCGAAUCAGGUAGGACUACCCGCUGAACUUAAGCAUAUCAAUAAGCGGAGGA